GCUGUCCAAGAUCUUCGGGAACAAGGAGAUGCGGAUCCUGAUGCUGGGGCUGGACGCGGCCGGCAAGACCACGAUCCUGUACAAGCUGAAGCUGGGCCAGUCGGUGACCACCAUCCCCACCGUGGGCUUCAACGUGGAGACCGUCACCUACAAGAACGUCAAGUUCAACGUGUGGGACGUGGGCGGCCAGGACAAGAUCCGGCCCCUCUGGCGGCACUACUACACGGGCACGCAGGGGCUCAUCUUCGUGGUGGACUGCGCCGACCGCGACCGCAUCGACGAGGCGCGGCAGGAGCUGCACCGCAUCAUCAACGACCGGGAGAUGCGGGACGCCAUCAUCCUCAUCUUCGCCAACAAGCAGGACCUGCCCGACGCCAUGAAACCCCACGAGAUCCAGGAGAAACUGGGCCUGACCCGGAUCAGGGAUAGGAAUUGAAAAGUUCUGUUAAUCUGUAACUAAACAGCGACUCGGUCUGGCUCCACGGCUCAGGCUAACGAGGGGAAUUCUUGCCUGCAGUGCCAGAGAGUGGGAAUUCCACUGUUAACAAUAUAAGUUUUACAUGGCAUUGGGGGGCGUUACACUACAUUGCUGCAGUGGUGGCUCUGCAUGGAGAGUACCUUGUAUUAUGGAGCUCUUACCAAAGAUGUGUGGGAAGACAAAAAAUCCUGAAUUCACUUCUGAAAUCCAAUGCUUUGCUCGAAGUCCUUUUAGAAUACGGUUCCUAAAAGACUUGUCUGGAUGUGGGUUGCAAAUGGGACUGGAUGGGUUCCUGGUGCUAGAAGAUAGAGCAUUGAUGGACUUUGUGAGUUAGGGAGUCUGAAGAAGCUCAAUGUAGAAAUAACUCUUCAAUCUCAGCCCUAAAGAAGAGGAAGUGGGAUUAGUUUACUUUAAUCCAAGCCUUUUUUGCCGUUGGAAAAAUCAUUGCUCUAUUUUCUAGCUUUUAUUUUCUUUUUUUCUUUUUUUCCUGUUGCUGUAACUUAACAAACAAGUGUGGUGGUAUAAAAACUUAAAAAAAAAAAAAUACAAGAGUAUGGUUACUGUUUUCUUCUGGAGCAUCAAUAAAAUAGCCAAGCACAAAGUAAAUGCCUAAACUGGAAAACUUGAAGCUCUAUUAAUGGUUCUUGAACUUUCUUAAACCUAUUCUCAGUCAACAUGAAAACUUCAGUAACUUCAUUUUUCGUCUGAGUUGGUUUCCUGUGUUUCCAAGUGCUGGGGCAGCCUUUGCGUUGACUUCACAACUUUGUAUUCCCUUAGUGACUUUGUUAUUCUGUUUUUGUAGGUGAAAGGAAACUGCUUUUGCUUCUGGAAUUUUUUUAAUGUUUUGGGGGUUUUUUUUUGGGGGGGGGGGGAGGAACGGGGAAGGAGAAAGGGGGAGAAAAAGUUACUGAAAGAUGUGGCAGAGACGUCAAAAAUAAAGGGCCGUCGGUACCGAACAAACCCCACAGGUUUCACUUCCAACAUGUCCUUUCUAGGCUGUAGCUGAACCUCCACCACGAGGUAGUGGCUCACAGGCAGGAUAAAGUGGGAAUCCUGUACGAAACCCGGUGAUUUCCAAACCCAUCUGGAGUUCCAAGUGCAUCGAUUUGUGUCCGUGUGAGUUCUGUGGAGUGAGUUCUGAGUGGCGUCAAAUCGUGUCCGACCAGUGACUGAGUUUGUGGCCUGUGACCCCCCUGACUGGAGUAACCAGGAAUUCUGUGUUCUCAAUAUGGCUGUAGUGUUGGUAAAGAACUACUAAGCAGAAAAAUAAAGCAAUUACACAGCGGA
Manacus vitellinus (golden-collared manakin) is the source of this 1765-nucleotide RNA transcript. It is a transcript of the gene named ADP ribosylation factor 6, with no coding region annotated. The transcript is spliced from 3 exons. The record is from RefSeq and is a predicted model, not a curated record. Lineage: Eukaryota; Metazoa; Chordata; Aves; Passeriformes; Pipridae.